ACACGCGGCGCCCCAUUAAAGCGGCCGUCCCGGGCGCGCGCCUCAUUCGAGGCGACGGGCUCCGGGCCCUGAUAGAUGGGGUGCGGGGACGGAGACAAAUGACGGCCUUUGGGCUCGGAAUACCCACCUUUCUGGUAAUGCAGCCCAGCGGGUCCCAGCCUCGUUUUCCAGCCCUCACUCAAAAUGGAGUCGCUCUGGUUCGAACGCCUCUGACAAGUGUGUACCUACGUGUCAGGCCCAUCCUUCCUGCAGGCCUUUGUCUUGGUGUCACCCUGCCUGAGCUGGCCCCAACCACAGUAGCAACAGUGAUGCUGAUGUGUGACUGCUGCCAGGAGCCUGCUCACAUGACCGUGUGGAGAAAGUUCUUUCCCUGAGGACCAUCUGGAGUGGACGCGUGCACUACCCCUCUCUGAAUACACCCUCCCCACGAGGCCCUCUGGAGCAUCCUGUAGAGCCAGCCCCUACCCAGAGACCCUGAGCCCAGAGAAUGCGCUGGGUGGUGAGCCUGGGGACGAAUGCAGAGCCCUAGGUCUCCUCUCCAGAAAGACCGGAUUUUGCCAUGUUGGCCAGGCUGGUCUUGAACUCCUGACCUCAAGUGAUCCACCUGCCUCGGCCUCCCAAAGUGCAGGGAUUACAGGUGUGAGCCACUGCACCCGGCCUCAGGCAGGUAUUUUUACCAGCCGAAUACUCUUGCACUGUGCACUCUUCGUGUUCAUCAUCAGUCCCCCGGAUGGGUGUUUAAGGCAUUUCCAAAGCUCUGUUAUUAAAAACACGAUGCAAUGA
This 783-nucleotide long non-coding RNA is filed under the name Homo sapiens (human). Its description in RNAcentral is "non-protein coding LINC01503:5". Lineage: Eukaryota; Metazoa; Chordata; Mammalia; Primates; Hominidae. The record is from RNAcentral.